RNAcentral lists this ribosomal RNA (229 nucleotides) under uncultured bacterium. RNAcentral describes it as "partial 16S ribosomal RNA". It matches the Rfam family "Bacterial small subunit ribosomal RNA", at positions 568 to 796 of the family's 1533-position model. The record is from RNAcentral.
UACGUAGGCGGAAUAUUAAGUCAGUGGUGAAAUCCUGCGGCUCAACCGUAGAACUGCCAUUGAUACUGAUAUUCUUGAAUAUAGUUGAGGUAGGCGGAAUGUGUAAUGUAGCGGUGAAAUGCUUAGAUAUUACACAGAACACCGAUUGCGAAGGCAGCUUACUAAACUAUUAUUGACGCUGAGGCACGAAAGCGUGGGGAGCGAACAGGAUUAGAUACCCUGGUAGUCC